GUGGGGAAUCUUCCGCAAUGGACGAAAGUCUGACGGAGCAACGCCGCGUGAGUGAAGAAGGUUUUCGGAUCGUAAAGCUCUUUCGUUAGGGACGAACGUGCUCUUUGUGAAUAAUGAGGAGUAAUGACGGUACCUAAAUAAGAAGCCACGGCUAACUACGUGCCAGCAGCCGCGGUAAUACGUAGGUGGCAAGCGUUGUCCGGAAUUAUUGGGCGUAAAGCGCGGGCAGGCGGGCUAUCAAGUCUGUCUUAAAAGUGCGAGGCUCAACCUCGUGAGGUGACAGAAACUGGUAUUCUUGAGUGUCGGAGAGGAAAGUGGAAUUCCAAGUGUAGCGGUGAAAUUCGUAGAGAUUUGGAAGAACACCAGUGGCGAAGGCGACUUUCUGGACGAUGUCUGACGCUGAGGCGCGAAAGCUAGGGGAGCGAACGGGAUUAGAAACCCGAGUAGUCC
This 450-nucleotide ribosomal RNA is filed under the name uncultured bacterium. RNAcentral's name for it is "partial 16S ribosomal RNA". It matches the Rfam family "Bacterial small subunit ribosomal RNA", at positions 354 to 796 of the family's 1533-position model. The record is from RNAcentral.